RNA transcript from Haplochromis burtoni (Burton's mouthbrooder), 2689 nucleotides. It is a transcript of the gene named C-type lectin domain family 6 member A, with no coding region annotated. NCBI's taxonomy places the organism in Eukaryota, Metazoa, Chordata, Actinopteri, Cichliformes, Cichlidae. The transcript is spliced from 3 exons. The record is from RefSeq and is a predicted model, not a curated record.
CAGUAUUUUAAUAUUCAUAUGAGAUACUGGACAUCAUUCCACACCAAUCCAUCAACAGAGGAACGCUGGGCUGUUCGUUGGUACCUGCUGCUGGAAAACAAAGGAUUGUUGGUGACUGAAAAGUUAUGCAUCCAUGCUGUAAUAACUCAAGAAAAAUCCUGUGCUGAUUCUCUGCUGGAUGAGACCAUGGGAGUGAAUAAUGGAUCGACUCUGCUUGAAGAAGAAAAAAAGCUGGAAGCAUCCAAAGACAGAAAAACAAUCUACAGACUUGGGAUCAGAGAGAUGUUUGAAGUCUUGGUGGCAGAUUUCAUCAAAUUAGAGCAAAAUCUAUCAAUUCAUUGAUCUGCCUGUGUCUGAUGCAACCCAUACUCAUCAACCAUGCAGGGCAACAAGUCUGCUAUGUCUUAAAGCCAUCAUCCAAAUAAAGCAGUCCAAAGCAACAACACAACACAAAAAGAGAUGCUGUAUUUCAACAGGAAUAUUCUGCUGGCCUGUUGGACUGCUUUGGGUGAAAUGGUCUUUUAUGAAAUUCCCAGGCUUGCCAAAGUCUCCUCCUGCUGAAAUGUAAAAAAGGUCUAUAAAUGUUUAAGUGUUUUUCUUUUUUCCCUUUGUUGUUGUGUCGGCUCUCUCAGGUCACUACAGACAGCUGGCUCAUUACUUCUGUUUGCUCUGCUUUCUACUGACCAUCAUCAUUCUGCUCCAGACUCUCUGCUGUGAGUGCCUCUUUGCAUCUAUAAAACUCACUGACCAAUGGGAACGGGUUACUGAAAAAAGGAGAGGGAGAUAAUGUGCUGAUAUACAUAUAAGACCUUAACUGAUAUUUUGAAUAUUUUCAUAUAAUUUACAAUAAUUUACAAAGUUGAGUUUAUCUCUACACCGCACCUGCCUGUACAUGGCAUUUAACCACUUUAGUCUAGCUCAGUGGUGACUGAGACACUGCCUAUCCUCGCCGGCCAAAUCCUAUACUCAAAGAUUUAAAGAAAAUAAAGACAGAAAGAGUGGAUUUCAUUAGUGAAGUAACACACAUCAUGUUGGAUAAAAACGUAGGGCCUUGUUUGAGAGUGAGUGUAAUAGAUCCUCGCUAAUAGUGGAGCUCAGAAUAAUAUGAUUUUUAAAGUUCUCCAAGCGAAUGCUAACAACAUAGCAAAAUUUGGCUGUGUUGUUAUGUAGAGUGGACCCGCUUCACACUGGCAAAUGUAACUUGUUGCCCAGGUGUUUCCUUUUGCAUCGAUUGCGCUCACACAAAGGCGUUGUGUGUAACUAGCCUUCUUUCUUUCACUCUUUCCAUCUGCUGAUACACAGAUGUCGAGGUGUGCUGGCUGCCACACAAAAACGGCUCAUCUAAAUGAAAACAAAGACGCAUAUAUUACUUACAGCAGCGUGAAAAGCUUGGUUGGCUUCAAAAUGAACACAGGACCAGAAAAUAACUGCAGCUGUUCAGAGAAAACGCAGUGAAGAGGAGCCUCAAAACAACAGUCACCACUCAAGAGAUUGCAGUGGUUCAGCUCACACUGGUGUCUCAGUCCCAGUCGGCCCUGCAGGAAAACAAACUGAGAGGUUUGAGAAUCGGGCUGGAGAAGCUCAACCAGUCAUAUCAGCUCCUGUUCUCCCAGUACCCUUCUCUAAACCAGUACUGCCCAAUCAGCAACGCUACCACUGGUGGUGAGUCUGGGUGCUUUUUUAUUCAGAGCUACAAGUGUUAAGAGAAAAUCCAGAGAAAAAAAUCAUUUUUUACACCCACAAAAAUCACAACUUUUCGAAGAUGUUCCUGUGACAGUUCCUCGUACACACUGUGUCUGUUUUCAGGCAUUUCUAUGGCCAGACUUCAAAACUGACGCAUCAGUGGAUAACUGGGUGGUUUUAGUGUAAAGGUUUACCUGAGGCUUGGCUCUAAUUAUAAGGCUGUAACAGAAAGGUAAAGAAGCUAAUGAAUCCCUUAUAUAAAGGUCGAGUAUUUAACUACAGACGAGUUUGUGAGAGAGAAAUGUCAGUUUCAGUUUGGUCAUUUUGUCCCAGUCACGCUGCCAAACAAGUGGCAGAUUAAAUAUAGACAACUGUUUACAAAAAAACCCAUUUAACAAAGAAGCUCUGAUUUCCAUUAUGCUGUGAAAAAGACAAACAACUCGAGCGUGAUUCAGAUUCAGAUAACAGAUCCACUUUGAGCUUUUGUGUCAUAUUACAUAUGACGAGUUUCCAGUAUGUUAGAUAAACUGAUUUAAACCAGUGAAACUGGAUGUGUAAUAUUAGUCUGUUUGUUUUCAGUCUGUAAUCAGUGAUAUAAAUAAAGUAGAAAACAUAUUUAUACCACUUACUUAUGACACAACAUAAAAACACACUACCAUAAAACUAUUACAGGCUUUUCAGAAUGAAACCUGACAUUAACACCUUCAGACUGUCGGGCUGUAGUAACUUUUAAAUGGUUGUAGCUAAUACACAAUCCAAAUUUAAGUCUUGCUUGUGGAGCACUGUAUUGUUGUUUAAUCAUUUACACACUCAAAAUGCAGUUUGUUGAAAAAUAUGUCAUGAUUUCAGUGCUGUUGUGAGAUUAUUUCAUACUGAGAACAGUAAUACUGUACUGAGAUGUACAGGAUGCUAGAAAAUUUCAAAUCACUGCUGAAACUUACCCUGGCUUGACAUUUAAGGUCUUUUGAAGCUUAAAGUAGAUUAAAACAAACUUUGAGGGAUGAGU